Molecule: unclassified non-coding RNA, 348 nt
Filed under: soil metagenome
Description: partial contains 5.8S ribosomal RNA, internal transcribed spacer 2, and large subunit ribosomal RNA
Rfam family: 5.8S ribosomal RNA (bases 1-120)
Source: RNAcentral
GAUGAAGAACGUAGCAAAAUGCGAUAAGUAAUGUGAAUUGCAGAAUUCAGUGAAUCAUCGAAUCUUUGAACGCACAUUGCGCCCGCUGGUACUCCGGCGGGCAUGCCUGUUCGAGCGUCAUUUCAACCCUCAAGCCCCCGGGUUUGGUGUUGGGGAUCGGCUCUGCCCUUCUGGGCGGUGCCGCCCCCGAAAUACAUUGGCGGUCUCGCUGCAGCCUCCAUUGCGUAGUAGCUAACACCUCGCAACUGGAACGCGGCGCGGCCAUGCCGUAAAACCCCAACUUCUGAAUGUUGACCUCGGAUCAGGUAGGAAUACCCGCUGAACUUAAGCAUAUCAAUAAGCGGAGGA